CCUACGGGGGGCUGCAGUGGGGAAUAUUGGACAAUGGGGGGAACCCUGAUCCAGCCAUGCCGCGUGUGUGAAGAAGGCCCUCGGGUUGUAAAGCACUUUCAGUGAGGAAGAACGCCUGGUGGUUAAUACCCAUCAGGAAAGACAUCACUCACAGAAGAAGCACCGGCUAACUCCGUGCCAGCAGCCGCGGUAAUACGGAGGGUGCGAGCGUUAAUCGGAAUUACUGGGCGUAAAGCGCGCGUAGGUGGCUUGAUAAGCCGGUUGUGAAAGCCCCGGGCUCAACCUGGGAACGGCAUCCGGAACUGUCAAGCUAGAGUGCAGGAGAGGAAGGUAGAAUUCCCGGUGUAGCGGUGAAAUGCGUAGAGAUCGGGAGGAAUACCAGUGGCGAAGGCGGCCUUCUGGACUGAAACUGACACUGAGGUGCGAAAGCGUGGGUAGCAAACAGGAUUAGAUACCCGGGUAGUC
RNAcentral lists this ribosomal RNA (465 nucleotides) under Vreelandella stevensii. Its description in RNAcentral is "partial 16S ribosomal RNA". It matches the Rfam family "Bacterial small subunit ribosomal RNA", at positions 338 to 795 of the family's 1533-position model. Lineage: Bacteria; Pseudomonadati; Pseudomonadota; Gammaproteobacteria; Oceanospirillales; Halomonadaceae. The record is from RNAcentral.